CGUGUUAUCUGUUUCCUUUUUGUUUUUGCCCUGUUGGCCUUUUUGUUCUUAUUAAAGUGAUAAUUUCCCUGCAUUUGGACCCAGACCCUGUUUCUUCCACGGCGCUCUUUACCGCGCCGUGACAGAAUACAGCCAGCAGUUAUGGGUUCAGCAGGGAGGUUCCUCGAUGUCCGCCAGGGAGAGCGAAGCAUCGAGGAUUAUGCCUGGCACUUCGUCGGGGCGGCUCGGUUUUCGGCGACAGAGAAGACCUGUCUUAUGGUCUUCUUUUGGGGAGGACUGGCCGAGCCCUUUAAAAUAUUCAUGCCAUACUGGCACCCCGACGAGACGCUGGAGGACUACAUUAACCUGGCUCUGCAGCUGAGUGGCUCAGCCGUCAGGGUGGGGGGGCCGACCCAGGAAGUUCCCGGCGAGGCGGCGGGGCUCGCUUCCGGCUUUCAUGAAGCGGCCGAGCCCGCAGAUGUUCCCUGCGAGGCAGCGGGGCUCGCCUCCGGCUUUCACGAAGCGGCCGAGCCCGCAGAUGUUCCCUGCGAGGCGGCGGGCGCCGCUCACGACUCUCCCGAAGUCCCCGAGGCGGCGGUGGCCGUUCACGACUCUCCCGAAGUCCCCGAGGCGGCGGCGGGUGCCGCUCACGACUCACAGAGGCGGCAGUGGCCGCUCGGAAAGAGCCAGAGGCGAAGGUGUCCGCUCACGAUCCCGGUUUUGCCCUGGGUUCCCACUCCACCGGCUCUGCCUCAGUCACCUGGUCCCCCUCCAGCACACGGACCUCUCCUCUGGGUGGGGGGCCGCUGGAACGUCUGGAAUCCGUUCCUUAGAGGGGGGUCCUGUCAUGAGUCCGGACCCGGGGUUUCUCCUUCUCACCACCAGAGGGCGCCACUUCCAUUCUCCCGGACUCAUUACCGUCACUCUGCACACCUGGUUUACUCGACACACCUGUUUCACCCACUCACACGCACACACCUGGUGCCUAUUGUCACGGACUAUAUAGUUUUGUCUCACCCACCACUCUGCCUGGCUGUAUUGUUUAUUGUUAAUUGUUAGUCGAAUUCCGAGGUGUAUGCGUG
Molecule: long non-coding RNA, 1061 nt
Organism: Cyprinus carpio carpio
Lineage: Eukaryota; Metazoa; Chordata; Actinopteri; Cypriniformes; Cyprinidae
Source: Ensembl